RNAcentral lists this long non-coding RNA (1871 nucleotides) under Aquila chrysaetos chrysaetos. RNAcentral describes it as "lncRNA (ENSACCG00020016795.1)". The record is from RNAcentral. Lineage: Eukaryota; Metazoa; Chordata; Aves; Accipitriformes; Accipitridae.
AUGAACGAUUCAUCUGUGGAUCGUUGUGACAUCAGCACGGUUCUCCAGCAGCAAGCCUAUUUGCUGUUUUAUGUCAGGAGCCCUGAUUUAAGGGGAGGAAGGCCUUCUUCCCCACGGAUAGCAUCACAUGCCCGCGCCUUCCUGAGGCAGUGGGCGGCCGGCAGCAAGCAGGUAGAUCCUGCGGGACCAUGGGGUCUUCUUCCUAGGACUAAGGUAAGUCCGGGGAGAUGGAUCAGUGCAUUUCUUUCCGGGAUCUUGGCAUCGUUCUCUUUUCCCUCCCAGGCUGCAGCUUUCUUCAAAGCUGCAACGCUUCUCCCUCUCAAAGCAUCCCACCUCGAUCCACCCCAUUUGUCCACCUUUGGUUCUUCUGCCUUUGCGGCCCGCCGGGAGAAGCUCUGGGACGCCCUUAGCUGUCCCGUCCCACGGUUUCUGGGGGUUCCCCACCGUUCUGGUCCUUUCACGGGGAAAGGGCAGGGCCUUUUCACAGCUCUCUUUGCAGAACACGGCAGUGGGCAGGGAGGAUUCUCCAGAGGACACCAGCUCCUCUACAAGGACCAGCACCAGCCAGUUAAACUGGGCAGAUGCACGGGAGGCAUCUGCAGCCCGGCCAGGCGGGCGCAGCGUGGCCUCGUACGCGUCCAGAACCCAACCUGGCUUCCCGUUCUGCCGUCAACUGUUUGACCUUGGGCUGCACGCCGCGCAACACGACGACGACGAGGAGGAGGAGGACGGAUUCAGCUCCUGUUCCUGCUGCCAGAGGAACGUGAUCAGGGAGAGGGCCUGGAGCAGCUUCCCGCAACGGGACAACGAUUUCCGCAGCUGGCUCACGGUCCCCACGGACUACAGCCUCUCAGCAAGGAGGAGGAGGAGUCCGAGUCGUGAAGAAGCCCUCAGGGAUGACUCACCUCCGUGGACCUCCAACGCCAGCUCCCGGUGGGCUCCCGCAUCCCGGGCUGCUCGGGAGCAAAGACUGCUGCGGGAAAGAACGCGGAGCCGAUCCCCGCGGCGGGGUUAUACUCUCCGCAGCCGCUUCGUGGAGUACGCGGACUGCCGUGGCUCAGCGAGGAGGAGGAGAACUAGUCCUCCGAGUCAUGAACAAACCCCCAGGGAUGACUCGCCUGCUUGGACCUCCAACGCCAGCUCUGAGCGGGUUCCCGCAUCCCGGGAUGCCGGGGAGCAAACUCAGCUGCGGGAAAGAACGCGGAGCCGAUCCCCGCGGCGGGGUUAUAAUCUCUGCAGCCGGUUCGUGGAGUACACGGACGACCAUCGCUCCGCGAGAGGAGGACGGAGAAGAAGCGUGAGAAGAAGUCCUCCGCGUCGUGAGUGAGUCCCAAGGGACGAUGCGGCUCCAGGACCCUCCAGUGCCCGCUCCAAGCAGGCUCCGACACCCGGGGCUGCUCAGGACCAAAUCCUGCCGAGGCAGAGGGAGCGAAGCAGAUCCCCGCGGCGGGGUUACGAUCUCCGCAGCCGCUUCGUGGACACCGCAAACUACGACCCCUCAGCCGGGAGGAGGAGAAGGGCUUCCCGGAUGAGGCAGAAGCACAACAUCUAACUUCUGCAAUGCUGGAGAGGAGGAAGAGCGGGAAGAAGAAUCCAUGAAGUACCUAAGCAAGGACCAAGGAAAAGCUCAGAAAGAACUUCCAGACACUCGGAAAACUCUGCCAGCUGGCCCGCCUGCCCACAGGUCCCUGGAGGAAGAGCUUCUAUUUGUUUUCUGCUUUUGGGAUCACCUUGCAAAAACAACACUCGGUUGGAGCCAAGAGGCAGAAAAGACAAAGACAGAAUUAAAAACAUUUGCUGGCCUUGCAUGUGUCAUUUAUGGGGUGUUUCCUUCUCUGUAGGUUUUGGGGCAAUUGGUGGAAAUACCAGAG